GUAGUCAUAUGCUUGUCUCAAAGAUUAAGCCAUGCAUGUCUAAGUAUAAGCAAUCUAUACGGUGAAACUGCGAAUGGCUCAUUAAAUCAGUUAUCGUUUAUUUGAUAGUACCUUACUACUUGGAUAACCGUGGUAAUUCUAGAGCUAAUACAUGCUAAAAACCCCGACUUACGAAGGGGUGUAUUUAUUAGAUAAAAAACCAAUGCCCUUCGGGGCUCCUUGGUGAUUCAUAAUAACUUAACGAAUCGCAUGGCCUUGUGCCGGCGAUGGUUCAUUCAAAUUUCUGCCCUAUCAACUUUCGAUGGUAUGGUCUUGGCUUACCAUGGUUUCAACGGGUAACGGGGAAU
Molecule: ribosomal RNA, 347 nt
Filed under: uncultured fungus
Lineage: Eukaryota; Fungi
Description: SSU rRNA
Rfam family: Eukaryotic small subunit ribosomal RNA
Source: RNAcentral